This 252-nucleotide ribosomal RNA is filed under the name uncultured bacterium. RNAcentral describes it as "partial 16S ribosomal RNA". It matches the Rfam family "Bacterial small subunit ribosomal RNA", at positions 524 to 776 of the family's 1533-position model. The record is from RNAcentral.
UACGUAGGUCCCGAGCGUUGUCCGGAUUUAUUGGGCGUAAAGCGAGCGCAGGUGGUUUAUUAAGUCUGGUGUAAAAGGCAGUGGCUCAACCACUGUAUGCAUUGGAAACUGGUAGACUUGAGUGCAGGAGAGGAGAGUGGAAUUCCAUGUGUAGCGGUGAAAUGCGUAGAUAUAUGGAGGAACACCGGUGGCGAAAGCGGCUCUCUGGCCCGUAACUGACACUGAGGCUCGAAAGCGUGGGGAGCAAACAGG